CAGUCGCCGCGGGAAAACAGAGGAUGCAAGCGUUAUCCGGAAUGAUUGGGCGUAAAGCGUCUGUAGGUGGCUUUUCAAGUCCGCCGUCAAAUCCCCGGGCUCAACCCUGGACAGGCAGUGGAAACUACCAAGCUGGAGUACGGUAGGGGCAGAGGGAAUCUCCGGUGGAGCGGUGAAAUGCGUUGAGAUCGGAAAGAAUACCAACGGCGAAAGCACUCUGCUGGGCCGACACUGACACUGAGAGACGAAAGCUAGGGGAGCAGAUGGGAUUAGAUACCCCUGUAGUCCCUGUCUCUUAUAC
Molecule: ribosomal RNA, 301 nt
Filed under: uncultured bacterium
Lineage: Bacteria
Description: partial 16S ribosomal RNA
Rfam family: Bacterial small subunit ribosomal RNA
Source: RNAcentral